GGGAUAAAGGUUUCGGGAAUGUGGCUCCCUCGGGAGUGUUAUAGCCCGUUGCG
RNAcentral lists this ribosomal RNA (53 nucleotides) under Stachybotryaceae sp. RNAcentral describes it as "Stachybotriaceae sp. partial large subunit ribosomal RNA". Lineage: Eukaryota; Fungi; Ascomycota; Sordariomycetes; Hypocreales; Stachybotryaceae. The record is from RNAcentral.